This 1852-nucleotide long non-coding RNA is filed under the name Sorghum bicolor (sorghum). RNAcentral's name for it is "long non-coding RNA (SBIC_LNC010860)". Lineage: Eukaryota; Viridiplantae; Streptophyta; Magnoliopsida; Poales; Poaceae. The record is from RNAcentral.
GGGGUUUGCCUCUUUAUUUAUAGCCUGGUGUGGUGAACAUGCACCGUUUGAUCAAACUGACCUAACACAUAGCUGAGAUGCAUCAUAGGAGGCGGUGGAAGCAGUCUCCAGAAGGCAGCGCGCGGGACAUUGACCUAGGGCGUCGGCCGACGCCUAGUGGGGCCGGCCGGCCCCACUGGGUCUCUGUGCGGGUCCUGUCUUCUCUCGAAUGUUUCAGAGCCUUCCCUGAUCCUAAUGGCGCGUGAUUUCCUCGCGGUUAAGUUUUUUGAUUUUUGUGCACUUAAAACCCUCUUUUACGCUUCUCUAGAAUAGUCCCUAGGAAAUAAAUAAUUCACCAAAACUCGUGGAAAUUAUUAGUAACAACCCUAUUCUAAUUGAUAUUCAUAUAUAAUGCAGGGAUAAUUGAUAAUAAAUUUUGGUUGUUAACAAGUCUCAACAGAUAACAUAUGAUUAUGACAUCUUAAGAUAUUAGCAAACACAAAGCUUUACUCAAGACAUAUCUCACGCAACUGGGUUAUGUGGUACUUUCUAGCAUAUAUCAUUCAGAUGUUAAAAAAUGGAACAGUUCUUCCUAUUUUCAUAUUCUUAGCACUUAGAGUUUUUCAUAAUGGUUUUCAAAAACAAAGCACAUAGAUCAUUCUUACUCGUCAAAUAGUACUCCCUAGUCACUUAGUAAGGCAUGGCAUAAGAUUGCCUUCUUUUGUUUCAUCCUACAUCUAUAGGCUUAUGUGGGGCUCAGGUAGGGAUAAAAUAGAUAGCAUACUUUCAUUGCAUAUAUUAUAAAGUCAAAACAAGGAUCUAAGGAGAAGAUUGUCAUAAUCUUAGAUCAAGAUGUACAAGUGUGUGGAAAAUGAUGGAGUAGAAUGCUCAUCUAUUUGAUAAGAUCUCUCUCUAUUUUAUUUGAGACAUGGCUAACAUUUUUUUAAAUAAAUGGCAUGUGUCCAAUUUUUUUAAGUAAUGGACCUUCAUGUGUCCACUUUCUUUUUUUUUCUUUUUUAUAGCCUUUGUGUCUAAUCUACUAAGCAAUACAUAGAGAGAUAUUCUAAAACUUUAAAGCAUGGAGCAUCUAUAUGGUGGAGAUGGAUGGCUUGUUUUUGCGUACUUCCAGUUGUUGACACCGUUUUUGGAUACGUACCCAGGAUCGGUAGAAUGUAGAUCGGCAAGAAAAAGGCAAUAGUGAUUGGUCUGCAGGAGAGUUGCUGAUAAGGGUGGUUGCCGAUGAGGAGACAGCUGAAUGUGGCUAAGCCCAUGGGUGGUGAUGUGUUUAUGACGAUGGCCAGUAUUAAUCGUUGCCGAUGGGGAGUCUGCCGAUGACGUGGAAGGAAGACUUGGAGGUUGCCAAUUAGUCCGUGGUGGUGUCCCAGCUUGUCACGACAGGAUUGUUUUAUGUUUUCCUUAGUUAUUUAAAUCGUUUUGUAUACGGAUUCUGUUUAAAUUUGGAAUUCGAAUUCUAGUCGUGUCUGGUUGUAGUUCUUUGAGCAGGGUAUAAAUGUAGACCCUAGGGCCUUGUAAUACAUCUAUUAAUCAAUCAAACACAAGUUUUUACUCAUACUCCAGUACCUACUUUUUCGACGACUUCGUCAUACUUUUCCUUUUAUUACGAGUUCUUAGGAAUUCGUCGACUUAAGCUCGGCGUGUUCUCAAGUUCCGCGUGAAUACCUCUUGGCCGUGGCAUCCGGGCGCAUCGCUGUUGUCGGGACCAAAGUAUUCGAGUUAUCACCUUUGCCGAUAGUAAGGUCAAAUCGGCUGGCACGCCUUAACGUUUAAAUCGGGUAUUAGCCCUUUGUGUUUGCAGAUCAGCUUUUGCACCAACACAACUUUUGGCACGCCCAGUGGGACAGAUUCAAGAUCA